AUGGAGACUUGCAAGGGAGCCCCGAACUCCCAGGAGUCGGGCACUGAGGAUCCCCCGACAGAAGGUCAGCCAAAGUCCGCGCCCACGGUCACUCUGUUUGCUCCCUCCACUGAGGAGCUCAGCGCCAACAAGGCCACCCUGGUGUGUCUCAUCAAUGACUUCUACCCGGGCAGCGUGACGGUGGUCUGGAAGGCAGGCGGCACCACCAUCACCAGGGGCGUGGAGACCAGCCAGCCCUCGAAACAGAGCAACAGCAAGUAUGCGGCCAGCAGCUACCUGGCCCUGACGGCCAGCGAGUGGAAAUCUUACGACAGCGUCACCUGCCAGGUCACGCACGAGGUGACCACCGUGGAGAAGACAGUGUCACCCUCCGAGUGCUCUUAG
Non-coding RNA from Balaenoptera ricei (Rice's whale), 384 nucleotides. The record is from the annotation of a RefSeq genome assembly. NCBI's taxonomy places the organism in Eukaryota, Metazoa, Chordata, Mammalia, Artiodactyla, Balaenopteridae.